AACACCAGCGGGCCUUUGUUGCAGGCCGUACAGAAGUAUGCCCUUUCUCCCCGGCGGUGCCGACUCUCGGUGGUUCCUGGCCGCACAGCCCUGGGACGCAUCGCCCCGCUGGCUGGCGUGAGCCGCUGCGCUCCCACCCCAAGUCGCAGGGGGCGCCACCCAAUCUCGUUCCGACGCGAAUGGGGCUCGGCUUCCUUUGUACGCUCGCGCGGCAAGGAAGGCCUCACUUCCGGCCUUGCGCGCCUGGGGUCCGAGGCUAACGGGCGCGAGAUGUUCAGCAUGAAGUUCAACCCCUUCCUGACGUGGGGCUGCAGCACAAACCGCAAGCGCCACGUCAACGCCCCCUCGCACGUGCGCAGGAACAUCAUGUCUUCCCCCACUCCAAGGAGCUGCGGCAGAAGUGCAACGUCCGCUCCAUGCCCAUCCGCAAGGACGACGGGGUCCAGGUGGUUCGAGGACACUGCAAAGGUCAGCAAAUUGGCAAGGUAG
RNAcentral lists this long non-coding RNA (489 nucleotides) under Canis lupus dingo (dingo). RNAcentral describes it as "lncRNA (ENSCAFG00020011257.1)". The record is from RNAcentral. Lineage: Eukaryota; Metazoa; Chordata; Mammalia; Carnivora; Canidae.